This 2095-nucleotide long non-coding RNA is filed under the name Homo sapiens (human). RNAcentral's name for it is "HSALNT0102646". Lineage: Eukaryota; Metazoa; Chordata; Mammalia; Primates; Hominidae. The record is from RNAcentral.
AAUAUAACUAGAUUUUACAUCAGUACUCUGAACACAUCUCCUUUCUUAUAAUCUAAGCUCAUGCUGCCUGACACUGAAUUUCUUUUUUUUAGUUACCAUUUUUGAAAUCAGUACUGUAAGAUAGUACCUCAAGAAACCCGGUUCACUACAGGAUAUGCCUCUGUACUUUCUGCUGCCUUCUGCCUACAUGAUCAAUGUGAAGCCAGGCCCAGACAUGUCUCAUCUAGAAUGAUUUGAGAAGAAUUUGAUUUCACUUUUCUGAGAAGGUUGGGAAAGAUUCUGACUUUAUCCAGUUUACCAGACAUGGCAGUGAAUAAGUUUAUCAGGACAAAACCCCAUUGUAAAUUGAAGAGCAUCUGUAAAGGAAGAUGGCUAGAUCCUAAGAAGACAGCUACCAGCUUUGUUUCUUCCUCUACUGGGAAACUUCGUGAUUUCGAAGGUGAAGAAAUGUUGAUGGCAACUGGACUCUUUUUUUUUGAGAUGGAGUCUCGCUCUGUUGCCCAGGCUGGAGUGCAGUGGCACGAUCUCAGCUCACUGCGACCUCUGCUCACUGCAACCUCCACCUCCCAGGUUUAAGCAAUUCUCCUGCCUCAGCCUCCCAAGUAGCUGGGAUAAUAGGCACGCACCACCCUGCCCAGCAAAUUUUUUAUUUUAGUAGAGAUGGAGUUUCACCAUGUUAGCCAGGCUGGUCUCGAACUCCUGCCCUCAAAUGAUCUGCCCGCCUCGACCUCUCAAAGGGCUGGGAUUACAAGCAUGAGCACUAAGCCCGGCUGAGCAUAGACUUUUUAGGAAAGGCCAAGUGGUGGCAGCAUCCAGUUGUACAUGUAAUUCUGUAGGAGAGAUUUGCGAUCUACAGCCUGGGAUGACUCCCUAUAGUCUAAGGUAACUGUGAUUACAAGAUGUGCCAUUUUUUAAUGUACCCUUAACAAAGAAAAAAUUUUCUGAUUAAAUGAUGACACAGUGCCUUCUUAUGACAUAGAUUUUCAAAAAUUUUAUACUUACUGAAAGUAUUCUUUUUUUUUCAAGAGACAGGGUUUUACUUUGUCAACCUGGCUGGAGUGCAGUUGUGCAAUCAUAGUUCACUGUAACUUUGAACUCCUGGGCUCAAUUGAUCCUUUCACCUCAGCCUUUCAAGUAUCUAGGGCUGCAGGUACACAGCAUCACGCUUGGCUAAUUUUUAAAUGUUUUGUAGAGAUAGGGGUCUCAAUGUGUUACUCAGGCUGGCCACAAACUCUUGACCUCAAGUAAGCUUCUCACGUCAACCUCCCCAAAGUGCUGGAUUUAUAGGCAUGAACCACUGCACCUGGCCAAGUAUUCUUUUAGACUUACUUAUACAUAGAUUUUUUUCUUAUUUCUCUUUUUUGGACAUAUAUUUUUAUAAUAUAACAUUCUCUUACGUUAACAGAGAAAUGCAAGCAAAAUUUUAGUUAAGGCAUUUCUAAAACUUUAUUUCAAUUCUAAAUCGUGUUGUAAUCUUAAAAAAUAUCAGGUAACCUGCUCGGGUCCCCUUCUGUGCCGUGGGGAAGCUUUGUCCUUUCGCUCUUCACAAUAAACUUUGCUACCGCUAAAAACAAAACAAAACAAAACAACAACAACAUCAAAAAUCAUUGUAAAAGUCAGUUAAACUUAACAUCUGAGAUAAUAACCAUGCACACAUCUCAUCUAAAGUGAUGACAAUGUGAACAGUAUGAUGAAGUUCUGAUUUGCUCAUGCAAUCACCUAUGCCGUGACCACCACCUGGCCAGGACAAUUACUUGUAAGAGUUCAUUGACUGUAAGGCACAUCCUUAUUUCAGAGAUUUAAAGAUGUGGAAAAAAAUGUGCAUCUUGGUGCUAGAGAGGAUGUGGAGAAACAGAAAUGUUUUUACACUGUUGGUGGGAGUGUAAAUUAGUUCAACCAUUGUGGAGGAUGGUGUGGUGUUUUCUCAAGGAUCUAGAACUAGAAAUACCAUUUGACCCAGCAAUCUCAUUACUGGAUAUAUAUCCACAGGAUUAUAAAUCAUUCUACUAUAAAGACACAUGCACACAUAUGUUUACUGUGGCACUAUUCACAAUAGCAAAGACUUGGAACCAACCCAAAUGUCCAUCAUUGAUAG